UUGGAGGAAAGGUUUUGCUCAAGGUUAAGCCAGGCUGUCUGAGAGCAAUAGUGCCGUUGCAGUGUCCACUGGCAACAUUAUCUGAGCAGUGGGAUUUCCUACAGCUUAGGUUUCAAAUGGUUUACUUUGAUUUCUUAAAGCUAUAAAUAAGUUUGCUCAUCUUUAAAUGGCAAUGUUAGUGGCUACACCAUAGAAAACCCCUGCAUCAAAAGCAAGAGACACGAAUGGAAGGAAAGACACAGGGAAAUAAAGCCAAGAGGACUCAGGGUCUCCGUUGACUUACCCGCGGGCCGGGACAAGUGGCGCCCAACGUGGGGCCUGAGAAUGGGGGAUCCAGUGAAGAAUGCUGCUCGGGAGCCCAAUAAAAUAGAAGAGACAAAUAAAAUAGAAAAAAGAGGAUUGCGUUUGACAUGAACCUGCCGUCUUUCCUGCACCUCGGUGAGUUGAGCAGCGAUUAUGGGACAGGAGAUUACCCAACAUGAGUUGUUUGUAGAAGGUCUUAAAAAAACUUUACAGGCACGAGGGGUAAAGGUUACAGUCAAACAGUUGUUAAAAUAUUUUGAUUAUAUUAGAGAUCUCUGCCCUUGGUUUCCCCCCGAGGGUACCAUCGACGAGAGGAGAUGGAAAAAGUAGGGGAGGCCCUUAAAGAUUAUUAUGCUACUUGUGGACCAGAAAAGGUCCCGAUUACUGCAUUUUCUUAUUGGAAUCUUAUUGAUGAAAUUAUCUCCCAAAAAACCAAAGAUCCGGUGGUGGCU
Heterocephalus glaber (naked mole-rat) is the source of this 755-nucleotide non-coding RNA. The record is from RefSeq and is a predicted model, not a curated record. Lineage: Eukaryota; Metazoa; Chordata; Mammalia; Rodentia; Bathyergidae.